RNAcentral lists this ribosomal RNA (245 nucleotides) under uncultured Gemmata sp. RNAcentral's name for it is "partial 16S ribosomal RNA". It matches the Rfam family "Bacterial small subunit ribosomal RNA", at positions 524 to 768 of the family's 1533-position model. The record is from RNAcentral. Lineage: Bacteria; Pseudomonadati; Planctomycetota; Planctomycetia; Gemmatales; Gemmataceae.
GACGAACCGUGCGAACGUUGUUCGGAUUCACUGGGCUUAAAGGGCGCGUAGGCGGAUCACCAAGUCCGGGGUGAAAUCUUUCGGCUCAACCGGAAAAGAGCCUUGGAUACUGGUGGUCUGGAGGGAGGUAGGGGCUUGCGGAACUUCCGGUGGAGCGGUGAAAUGCGUAGAUAUCGGAAGGAACGCCGGUGGCGAAAGCGGCGUGCUGGACCUCUUCUGACGCUGAGGCGCGAAAGCCAGGGGAG